Molecule: ribosomal RNA, 468 nt
Filed under: uncultured bacterium
Lineage: Bacteria
Description: partial 16S ribosomal RNA
Rfam family: Bacterial small subunit ribosomal RNA
Source: RNAcentral
GACGAACGCUGGCGGCGUGCUUAACACAUGCAAGUCGAACGGAAAGGCCCUGCUUUUGUGGGGUUCUCGAGUGGCGAACGGGUGAGUAACACGUGAGUAACCUGCCCUUGACUUUGGGAUAACUUCAGGAAACUGGGGCUAAUACCGGAUAGGAGCUCCUGCUGCAUGGUGUUGGUUGGAAAGUGUCGGCGGUUGUGGAUGGACUGGCGGCUUAUCCGCUGGUUGGGGUGGUAGUGGCUUACCAAGGCUUUGACGGGUAGCCGGCCUGAGAGGGUGACCGGCCACAUUGGGACUGAGAUACGGAGCAGAAGCGUACGGGAGGCAGCAGUGGGGAAUAUUGCGGAAUGGGCGGGAGCGUGAGGCAGAAGCGCCGCGUGCGGGAUGACGGCCUUCGGGUUGAAAACAGAUUUCGAAUGUGACGAAGAGUGAGUGACGGUAAUGGGUAAAGAAGCACCGGCUAACUACGUG